RNAcentral lists this long non-coding RNA (241 nucleotides) under Vigna radiata. RNAcentral's name for it is "long non-coding RNA (VRAD_LNC009085)". Lineage: Eukaryota; Viridiplantae; Streptophyta; Magnoliopsida; Fabales; Fabaceae. The record is from RNAcentral.
GCAAUAAUAGGAUGACAGAGAAAAUGUUGGAGUGAGAGAGAUGACAGAGAAAAUGUUGGAGUGAGAGAGAUGAAAGAUAAAGGGUUGAGAAGAAUGAGGAAGGUGAGUAAGGGUUUGGGGUUCUUUUUUUAGUUUUGAGAAUGAAAAUUAUUUAAAUAUCCUUAACCUUAAAACUUAGAAUCCAUGAUAAAUGAGGGUAUUUUUGUCUACUAUAAUGCGGUACACAUUGUUAAAAUGUAAC